RNAcentral lists this transfer RNA (74 nucleotides) under Actinomycetota bacterium. Its description in RNAcentral is "tRNA-Pro". It matches the Rfam family "tRNA". Rfam says of the family: Transfer RNA (tRNA) molecules are approximately 80 nucleotides in length. Their secondary structure includes four short double-helical elements and three loops (D, anti-codon, and T loops). The record is from RNAcentral. Lineage: Bacteria; Bacillati; Actinomycetota.
CGGGACGUAGCGAAGUCUGGUAUCGCACCCGCUUUGGGGGCGGGGGAUCGCCGGUUCGAAUCCGGCCGUCCCGA